This 497-nucleotide ribosomal RNA is filed under the name uncultured bacterium. RNAcentral describes it as "partial 16S ribosomal RNA". It matches the Rfam family "Bacterial small subunit ribosomal RNA", at positions 28 to 507 of the family's 1533-position model. The record is from RNAcentral.
GAUGAACGCUGGCGGCGUGCCUAACACAUGCAAGUCGAGCGAACAGACGAGGAGCUUGCUCCUCUGACGUUAGCGGCGGACGGGUGAGUAACACGUGGAUAACCUACCUAUAAGACUGGGAUAACUUCGGGAAACCGGAUCUAAUACCGGAUAAUAUAUUGAACCGCAUUGUUCAAUAGUGAAAGACGGUUGUGCUGACACUUAUAGAUGGUUCCGCGCCGCAUUAGCUAGUUGGUAAGGUAACGGCUUACCAAGGCGACGAUGCGUAGCCGGCCUGAGAGGGUGAUCGGCCACACUGGAACUGAGACACGGUCCAGACUCCUACGGGAGGCAGCAGUAGGGAAUCUUCCGCAAUGGGCGAAAGCCUGACGGAGCAACGCCGCGUGAGUGAUGAAGGUCUUCGGAUCGUAAAACUCUGUUAUUAGGGAAGAACAAAUGUGUAAGUAACUAUGCACGUCUUGACGGUACCUAAUCAGAAAGCCACGGCUAACUACGUG